AAUUAGAAAACAAAAUGAAGGGAGGAAAUUCUCAGACGAAGUUGAAGGAACCUCCUAUACAAAGGCAAGUAUACAAACUCGAAUGAUGGUCUAAAUGCUCUCGUAGAGAUCACUACAUAUUUUGAACACUCGAGAAUCGCACUUUGACUAUGCCGCUCAAUGACUUUAUGAUUAACUUUUCAGGGGCAGGUGAAACAAGAGCAAAUUAUGGACAUUGUUCGAGAGGUAUGUGAUGAACAUAAUUUUGAAAUAAUAAUAAUAAUAAUAAUAAUAAUAAUAAUAAUAAUAAUAAUAAUAAUAAUAAUAACAACAGCCCCAUGCAAUAAAAUUAAAGCAUGUGACGAGAAGGAUGAUGUAUGAUUUUAAAUCUAAGAAACCAUAAAAAAUAUCUACUAUUGGCCAAUAUUGUAUUCUUCCUGUAGAUUCAAAAUAAAUACAUAUAUUGGCUAGAGAAUGAAGCAAGAAAUUUCAAGUACGUAACGAAGUUCUCGAGAAGAUUGGCUGGAGGUGGAAAUAGGAGAAGCAAUAAAAGUCCACCGAGUGAAAUCAAUAUUCAGCUGCUUUGGUGUUAAUUUUUGCUGAAGUGGGAAUUAUCAUACCCACCGUAUUGUUUGAGGUACUACGCGCUCUGAUAUAUUUUUAGACAUUCCUAGGACAUUCUUUUAACAACCUUCAUUACUUAGUGAUCUGAGUUGUGUUCAAGUGUAUUCUUUUAACAACCUUCAUUACUUAAUGAUCUGAGUUGUGUUCAAGUGUUUUGUUAACUUCUUUCAGGUUACAUAUAAAUUUCGAUCAACUUACAGUGCGUUGGUUGUUGCAACGUAAUUUAGUAUAUUAAUAUGAAGUUCUUUUGUCGUAUUUAUUUAUCAUGCGUGACAACUCAUUAGAUUCGAUAAUAUGUUAGUAUUUGUUAUCAAUUAAAAAAAGAUUAGGAAAUAUUGUUAGUUCACAUAAUAUCUUUGAAUAAUUGAGAUGAACAAAGAACUGUCAAAGAAAAGAUAAAUGCCUCAAUUCCAUUUGAUAUGUCCUUGGUUCUUUACCUCAGUUUUCAUGGCAUUUGAUAUUUCCUUAGCCUCAAUUUUCAUGGCAUUGCAGAUUUCGCAGGUUUCUCGAAUUUAUAAUUAUGUUUUUCUCCUUUACACGUCCAGUUUUGUCUUGCUAUUUUCUUUUAAUUUUUGAUACUCUUGUUGCUUCUUCCCAGUCAGUGAGGUUAUCAUUUUUCCUUCAUGUAGGUUCUUAAGAAGGAAUUUAUUCUGUUAAUGUAAGAAAUGCUAACAACUAAGGUGGUCAAACAUCAAAAUAUUUUCGGUUUAUUUUUUUAUGAUGUCAUAGUAUUCUUCAAAGAACAAUUCUGCUUUAAGGGUGUUUAAACUGUUUCUUUGCUUCAGUAUGUAAUUGGUGGAGCACCUACCUUCAGACAUACGGUUUAUUACUGAAUUUAUUGUUGGAGAUUGUCUUUCUAGAAACCUAUCUUAUGGGAAGGCAAAAGGAGCUUGGAGGCAGAGAUGACAAUAGCCAAUGAAGCUACUAACAGGUAGGUUUAUAGUGUCUUAAUGGAUGAUAUAAAUUAAAUAUUUCAAAUCAAUUCCCUUGAUAUAUAUUCGGGAUAAAUUAUCUUCAUGAACAAAUUAGACCAUGUGUAAUCCAUUGUGAAAUAAAGAGAGAGAGCAACAAGGGUGUUGUUAGUACUUCAUUAUUUAUAGUUCACUCUUUUGUCUCUUUCCAUGUAAGUUAAAGUGUUGAGAUUAUUGUAUUAUUUGCUAUUUUAGUUCUAUCUGUAGAGAGAUUUGGGAGAAUUAAUUUUCUCGUAUUGUUCACAAAAGUAUAUAUAGAGUACAGAGAG
RNAcentral lists this long non-coding RNA (1843 nucleotides) under Nicotiana benthamiana. RNAcentral describes it as "long non-coding RNA (NBEN_LNC028586)". The record is from RNAcentral. Lineage: Eukaryota; Viridiplantae; Streptophyta; Magnoliopsida; Solanales; Solanaceae.